GGGCUUCUGGUCUAGUGGUAUGACGCGCCCUUCGCAUGGGUGAGGUUACGGGUUCGAUUCCCGUGUGGUCCU
This 72-nucleotide transfer RNA is filed under the name archaeon. RNAcentral's name for it is "tRNA-Ala". It matches the Rfam family "tRNA". Rfam says of the family: Transfer RNA (tRNA) molecules are approximately 80 nucleotides in length. The record is from RNAcentral.